UGGAUCAAAGCCAGUUGAUUAGGGUAUUUAGCUGUUCACUAAAUUUUUGUGGGUUCGAGUCCCGUUGAUCUAG
Non-coding RNA from Macaca fascicularis (crab-eating macaque), 73 nucleotides. The record is from Rfam. Lineage: Eukaryota; Metazoa; Chordata; Mammalia; Primates; Cercopithecidae.